This 1627-nucleotide ribosomal RNA is filed under the name Proctophyllodes dendroicae. Its description in RNAcentral is "eukaryotic LSU rRNA". It matches the Rfam family "Eukaryotic large subunit ribosomal RNA", at positions 42 to 1443 of the family's 3401-position model. Lineage: Eukaryota; Metazoa; Arthropoda; Arachnida; Sarcoptiformes; Proctophyllodidae. The record is from RNAcentral.
AUAAAUAAGCGGAGGAAAAGAAACCAAACGGGAUUCCCUUAGUAACGGCGAGCGAAAAGGGAAAAGUCCAGCACCAAGUCUUGACAUSUAUGGUGUUCAAGAGAUGCGGUGUUAAUGUAUCGACCCAUCGUGCAYUGUUCCACAUUUCAAGUUCCUACGACUGGGACUUCCARAGCGGGUGUAAGACCCAUAGAGAUGAGGAACCAGUGUAUGCUGAGCGAUGCAUUCUAGAGUCAGGUUGCUUGAGAGUGCAGCUUAAAGUCGGUGGUAAACUCCAUCCAAGACUAAAUAUUACAGCGAGACCGAUAGCAAACAAGUACCGUGAGGGAAAGUUGCAAAGCACUUUGAAGAGAGAGUCCAAAAGUACGUGAAACCACUGGSAGGCAAACAGAUGGAACCACGAAGUGUGCGCCUCGGUCGAUUCAAUCAUCACCAUUUGUCAGUUGUUUGAGAUCAGGAUCUUUUCGRAGAUUGAUUUCCAGCAAYURUGAUGRAUGGUGUUGGUGCAUUUCGUGCCGGGGAUGCUAAGCCACGUUCAACUAGAGUUGGGACGGCUGUAAGAAAGAAUCCGAGAAAGGUGCCCGUCACGUGCUUGCAUUUGACGGUGUUAUAGUCUUGGAUUGGCACCGUCACCUAACAUACUGGUUGAUGCAAAUUCUCCAUUUGGAGUUGAACCAUAUCUGCCUGUGACUGUUAGUCGAUGUUGAGUAAUGUYCUUUGCGUAUCUUUCGAUGCGAAAAGACUUUGCGAAGAUGUCGGCUAAUGGYUGCUUGCGUGAUAUGGUGGAACUGUGGCGCGAGUAGGUCGGUCUCCAUCUGACCCGUCUUGAAACACGGACCAAGGAGCCUAUCAUAUACGCGAGUCGCUCGGUCUUGUUUAGGCCUGGGAGGCGUAAUGAAAGUAAAGUUACUAGGCUUCGGCUGCAGUAACGGCUCGCCCACUUUGUUUAUUGGCAAUAUGGCGAAGCUGGAGCGUAUACGAUGGUACCCGAAAGAUGGUGAACUAUGCCUGGGCAAGACGAAGCCAGARGAAACUCUGGUGGAGGUCUGUAGCGAUUCUGACGUGCAAAUCGAUCGUCAGACCUGGGUAUAGGGGCGAAAGACUAAUCGAACCAUCUAGUAGCUGGUUCCCUCCGAAGUUUCCCUCAGGAUAGCAGGCGUUUAUUUUUGUGCAGUCUCAUCCGGUAAAGCUAAUGAUUAGAGGUCUUGGGGUUGAAACGACCUCAACCUAUUCUCAAACUUUAAAUGGGUGAGAUGGUUGACUUUCUUGAUUGAAGCCAACCAUUUGGAUGCAAAUGCCUAGUGGGCCAUUUUUGGUAAGCAGAACUGGCGCUGUGGGAUGAACCAAACGUCGAGAUAAGGCAUCAAAUGCGUACGCUCAUCAGACCCCAUGAAAGGUGUUGGUUGCUAUAGACAGCAGGACGGUGGCCAUGGAAGUCGGAAUCCGCUAAGGAGUGUGUAACAACUCACCUGCCGAAGCAACUAGCCCUGAAAAUGGACGAUGCUGUAGCGUGGAGCCGAUACUCGACCGUUAURAUGAUUUAAAUUAMGAUAUCAUAACGAGUAGGAGGGCCGCAGUGUUAGCGUUGAAGGUGUCCGGCGUAAGCCGGCCUGGAGCUAUCAUUGUU